UUCUCAUUAGCUUAAGAUUUAAAGCAAGGCUCUGAAGAAGCUUAGAUUUUAGAGAAA
This 57-nucleotide transfer RNA is filed under the name Capillaria sp. cat-2018. RNAcentral's name for it is "tRNA-Phe". The record is from RNAcentral. Lineage: Eukaryota; Metazoa; Nematoda; Enoplea; Trichinellida; Capillariidae.